This 72-nucleotide transfer RNA is filed under the name Camelus ferus (Wild Bactrian camel). It matches the Rfam family "tRNA". Rfam says of the family: Transfer RNA (tRNA) molecules are approximately 80 nucleotides in length. Their secondary structure includes four short double-helical elements and three loops (D, anti-codon, and T loops). The record is from Rfam by way of RNAcentral. Lineage: Eukaryota; Metazoa; Chordata; Mammalia; Artiodactyla; Camelidae.
GAGGGCAUAGCUCAGUGGUAGAGCUCAUGCUUAGCAUGCAUGAUGUCCUGGGUUCAAUCCCCAGUACCUCCA